GGAUGUGAGGGCGAUCUGGCUGCGACAUCUGUCACCCCAUUGAUCGCCAGGGUUGAUUCGGCUGAUCUGGCUGGCUAGGCGGGUGUCCCCUUCCUCCCUCACCGCUCCAUGUGCGUCCCUCCCGAAGCUGCGCGCUCGGUCGAAGAGGACGACCUUCCCCGAAUAGAGGAGGACCGGUCUUCGGUCAAGGGUAUACGAGUAGCUGCGCUCCCCUGCUAGAACCUCCAAACAAGCUCUCAAACCUUAAUGAUACACUUGAUGCUCCCAUUAAGUCCUAAGAAUAUAUAUGUAGAUAUACAUAUACAUACAUAUACACACAUAUACAUAUAUGCAUACACACAUUUAUAU
RNAcentral lists this small nuclear RNA (348 nucleotides) under Peromyscus maniculatus bairdii (prairie deer mouse). Its description in RNAcentral is "7SK RNA (ENSPEMG00000003080.2)". The stretch from base 1 to 312 matches the Rfam family "7SK RNA". Rfam says of the family: 7SK was discovered as an abundant small nuclear RNA in the mid-70s but a possible function has only recently been suggested. The record is from RNAcentral. Lineage: Eukaryota; Metazoa; Chordata; Mammalia; Rodentia; Cricetidae.